CUCACUGGGACCUUGAGUCCCCUGAAGGGCCGUCGAAGACUACGACGUUGAUAGGUUGGGUGUGUAAGCGCUGUGAGGCGUUGAGCUAAUCAAUACUAAUUGCCCGUGAGGCUUGACCAUAUAACACCCAAGCAAUU
RNAcentral lists this ribosomal RNA (137 nucleotides) under Escherichia coli. Its description in RNAcentral is "partial 23S ribosomal RNA". The stretch from base 1 to 120 matches the Rfam family "Bacterial large subunit ribosomal RNA", at positions 2811 to 2925 of the family's 2925-position model. Lineage: Bacteria; Pseudomonadati; Pseudomonadota; Gammaproteobacteria; Enterobacterales; Enterobacteriaceae. The record is from RNAcentral.